UACACACACUCCGCCCGGGGACUACAAACAAAAGUUUAAAACCCAAAGGACUUGGCGGUGCUUAACAUCCACCUAGAGGAGCCUGUUCUACAACCGAUAAUCCCCGUUCAACCUCACCCUUCCUUGUUAUAAUCCGCCUAUAUACCGCCAUCGUCAGUCCACCCUGUGAAGGCCCCACAGUCGACAAAACCGCAACAACCCCAAACGUUAGGUCGAGGUGUAGCGUAUGGAGGGGGAAGAAAUGGGCUACAUUUGCUACAACAGCACAACACGAAUUUUGUUUUGAAACAUACAACUGAAGGAGGAUUUAGCAGUAAGCAGAAAAUAGAGCGUUCUACUGAAACCGGCACUUAAGCACGCACACACCGCCCGUC
Molecule: ribosomal RNA, 374 nt
Filed under: Achirus declivis (plainfin sole)
Lineage: Eukaryota; Metazoa; Chordata; Actinopteri; Pleuronectiformes; Achiridae
Description: partial small subunit ribosomal RNA
Rfam family: Bacterial small subunit ribosomal RNA
Source: RNAcentral